This 96-nucleotide small nucleolar RNA is filed under the name Nicotiana attenuata. Its description in RNAcentral is "snoRNA snoZ266". It matches the Rfam family "Small nucleolar RNA Z266". From Rfam's summary of the family: Z266 is a member of the C/D class of snoRNA which contain the C (UGAUGA) and D (CUGA) box motifs. Most of the members of the box C/D family function in directing site-specific 2'-O-methylation of substrate RNAs. The record is from Rfam by way of RNAcentral. Lineage: Eukaryota; Viridiplantae; Streptophyta; Magnoliopsida; Solanales; Solanaceae.
UUGUGGCAUGGAUGAUGAAAACAAAUUAGAUGUGCGAGAGGUGAAUUCCUCUAUGAGCUUAACAUCGAGGCAUAUUUAUAUUCUGACUUGCUUUUA